This is a long non-coding RNA of Gopherus evgoodei (Goodes thornscrub tortoise), 121 nucleotides long. RefSeq lists it as uncharacterized. The transcript has 3 exons. The record is from RefSeq and is a predicted model, not a curated record. Lineage: Eukaryota; Metazoa; Chordata; Testudines; Testudinidae.
ACAAGAAGUAAUCAGUUUAAUCUGCAGCAAGAGAGAUUUAGAUUAGCUAUUAGGAAACACUUUCAAACGAUAAGGAUAGUUAAGAAUUGGAACAGGAUAGUAACCAGGGAAGUUGUGGAAU